Molecule: long non-coding RNA, 757 nt
Filed under: Vitis vinifera (wine grape)
Lineage: Eukaryota; Viridiplantae; Streptophyta; Magnoliopsida; Vitales; Vitaceae
Description: long non-coding RNA (VVIN_LNC004905)
Source: RNAcentral
CCCUCAUUACUUGGCCUCCCAUAACUAGGCCUCCUCGGUGGCUCCUCCACCUCCGGACUCUCGUAGCUCGGCCUCCCAUACUGUGGCUUCCUGGGGGACCCUUCCCCACCAUAACCAUACCCGCCACCUUGUUCCUCUCCGAAGCUAGGUUUCCGACCGUACCCAGAUCCAUAUUCAGAACUCGGUGCUUCGUACUCAGGCCUCCGACCAUACCCAGAUCCAUACUCCGAACUGGGCUGCUCGAACUCGGGCCUCCGACCAUACCCAGAUCCAUACUCCGAACUAGGUUGCUCGUAUUCAGGCUUCCGACCGUACCCAGAUCCAUAUUCCGUGCUAGGCUGUUCGUAUUCAGGCUUCCGACCGUACCCAGAUCCAUAUUCCGAGCUAGGCUGUUCGUAUUCAGGCUUCCGACCGUACCCAGAUCCAUAUUCCGAGCUAGGCUGUUCGUAUUCAGGCUUCCGACCGUAGCCAGAUCCAUAUUCCGAGCUAGGCUGUUCGCAUUCAGGCUUCCGACCGUACCCGGAUCCGUACUCCGAACUGGGUUCCUCGUAAUCAGGCUUCCGCCCAUGCCCAGAUCCAUACUCACCCUCCCCACCAAAACUCGACGGCGGCUUCGGCUGAUACCCAUACUCACCACCAUCACCACUGCCUCCGAACCCUCCUUGGCCAGGAGGUGGUCCGGCGUAACCAAGGACCGGACGAGGCUUGGGACGAGCAUAGCUCUUGUAUUCAUUCUCAAGAGCUUCAUCACCGUAAG